CAACCCUCAAGCAUUGCUUGGUAUUGGGCUCCGCUGCUCACCCAGCGGGCCUUAAAAUCAGUGGCGGUGCCGUCAGGCCCUGAGCGUAGUAAAUAUCCUCGCUAUAGGGACCUGGUGGACGCUGGCCAACAACCCCCAUUUUCAA
This 145-nucleotide unclassified non-coding RNA is filed under the name uncultured Helotiales. Its description in RNAcentral is "sequence contains ITS2". The record is from RNAcentral. Lineage: Eukaryota; Fungi; Ascomycota; Leotiomycetes; Helotiales.